Molecule: ribosomal RNA, 428 nt
Filed under: uncultured bacterium
Lineage: Bacteria
Description: partial 16S ribosomal RNA
Rfam family: Bacterial small subunit ribosomal RNA
Source: RNAcentral
GUCGAGAAUCUUCCGCAAUGCGCGAAAGCGUGACGGAGCGACACCGCGUGAUGGAUGAAGUCCUUCGGGGCGUAAACAUCUUUUAUAAAGGAGGAAAUUUUUGACGUUACUUUAUGAAUAAGGGGCUCCCAAUCUCGUGCCAGCAGGAGCGGUAAUACGAGAGCCUCAAGCGUUAUCCGGAAUCAUUGGGCGUAAAGGGUGCGUAGGUGGUUUGAUUAGUCUCCCGUUAAAACUUCGAGCUUAACUCGAAAAGAGCGGGGGAAACGGUCAAACUAGAGUAUGUGGGAGGUGUGUGGAACUCAUGGUGUAGGGGUGAAAUCCGUUGAUAUCAUGGGGAACACCAAAAGCGAAGGCAGCACACUGGCACAUCACUGACACUGAGGCACGAAACCUAAGGUAGCGAAUGGGAUUAGAAACCCCUGUAGUCC